CACGCAGGCGGUUUGUUAAGUCAGAUGUGAAAUCCCCGGGCUCAACCUGGGAACUGCAUUUGAAACUGGCAAGCUAGAGUCUCGUAGAGGGGGGUAGAAUUCCAGGUGUAGCGGUGAAAUGCGUAGAGAUCUGGAGGAAUACCGGUGGCGAAGGCGGCCCCCUGGACGAAGACUGACGCUCAGGUGCGAAAGCGUGGGGAGCAAACA
RNAcentral lists this ribosomal RNA (207 nucleotides) under uncultured bacterium. RNAcentral describes it as "partial 16S ribosomal RNA". It matches the Rfam family "Bacterial small subunit ribosomal RNA", at positions 568 to 774 of the family's 1533-position model. The record is from RNAcentral.